CUUAUUCAUUUCAUUGUAAGCAAACUUUGCUGUUGUGAAGAUUUGUUAGUUCUGCAUCUUCACUUAAUUUAAAUGCAUAUGGUUCUUACGUUAGUUAGUAUUGGGAUCCUCUGAUGGUGAAUAACCUAAUCUGGGGCCUCUAGCGUCCACUUUUGAAUGUAGCUAUGUGUGCUUAGAUGCAACUUCAUGCUGUCUUAAUUUAGUGCCCUUGUCUUUGUAAAAUUUUGCUCUUCACUGACGUUUCUUUAGGUUUUUGUGGAGAUAGGGGCAGACAGAACAACACUCAAAAUCCCAAAAAAUUCUUAGCAUAACAGUUCAAUUCUCUUUGGGAAAGGUUUGGUGGGUGGCGGGGAAAGAAAUGAGCUUUCUCAACUUAGUUAAAAGAAACUCAAAAGCUCUUGCAUAAGGGUCUAAGACUAAGAUGCUAUCUGGCAUUCUCUCAAAGGUGAACACUACUAUUUACUGUCAACGGAUUCAGGAAGCAAUUACACGGCCACAAGCAGUGCCAACACCAUUAUUGUACAGGAAUCCAGUUCUGUCUCUUUCUUCAGGCAACAAGGUUUAUAGAAAAUCAAUGGCUACUUCACCUUCCAAAUCUGUGCUUGGAGAUGUUUAUGUUGAUGACUUGGUCUCCAGUUGUAGCAGUGGUGUGGAUUUCACAAAGCCUGCUGGUGUGUACUUCAGGAUUUGAAUAUUUUGUAUUAUUAGUGGAUUGCAAUUUAAAUAAAUAUAACUCUAAGUUUAGUUAUU
Arachis ipaensis is the source of this 750-nucleotide non-coding RNA. NCBI's taxonomy places the organism in Eukaryota, Viridiplantae, Streptophyta, Magnoliopsida, Fabales, Fabaceae. The record is from RefSeq and is a predicted model, not a curated record.